GUGCUAUACAUGCAGUCGAGCGGACUUGAUGGAGUGCUUGCACUCCUGAAGGUUAGCGGCGGACGGGUGAGUAACACGUAGGCAACCUGCCCUCAAGACUGGGAUAACUACCGGAAACGGUAGCUAAUACCGGAUAAUUUAUUUCRCAGCAUUGUGGAAUAAUGAAAGACGGAGCAAUCUGUCACUUGGGGAUGGGCCUGCGGCGCAUUAGCUAGUUGGUGGGGUAAYGGCYCACCAAGGCGACGAUGCGUAGCCGACCUGAGAGGGUGAACGGCCYMACUGGGACUGAGACACGGCCCAGACUMMUACGGGAGGCAGCAGUAGGGAAUCUUCCGCAAUGGGCGAAAGCCUGACGGAGCAACGCCGCGUGAGUGAUGAAGGUUUUCGGAUCGUAAAGCUCUGUUGCCAAGGAAGAACGUCUUCUAGAGUAACUGCUAGGAGAGUGACGGUACUUGAGAAGAAAGCCCCGGCUAACUACGUGCCAGCAGCCGCGGUAAUACGUAGGGGGCAAGCGUUGUCCGGAAUUAUUGGGCGUAAAGCGCGCGCAGGCGGUUCUUUAAGUCUGGUGUUUAAACCCGAGGCUCAACUUCGGGUCGCACUGGAAACUGGGGGACUUGAGUGCAGAAGAGGAGAGUGGAAUUCCACGUGUAGCGGUGAAAUGCGUAGAUAUGUGGAGGAACACCAGUGGCGAAGGCGACUCUCUGGGCUGUAACUGACGCUGAGG
RNAcentral lists this ribosomal RNA (724 nucleotides) under Paenibacillus sp. UPUM13. RNAcentral's name for it is "bacterial SSU rRNA". It matches the Rfam family "Bacterial small subunit ribosomal RNA", at positions 44 to 751 of the family's 1533-position model. The record is from RNAcentral. Lineage: Bacteria; Bacillati; Bacillota; Bacilli; Caryophanales; Paenibacillaceae.